Molecule: ribosomal RNA, 301 nt
Filed under: uncultured bacterium
Lineage: Bacteria
Description: partial 16S ribosomal RNA
Rfam family: Bacterial small subunit ribosomal RNA
Source: RNAcentral
CAGCAGCCACGGUAAUACGUAGGGAGCUAGCGUUGUUCGGAAUUACUGGGCGUAAAGCGCGCGUAGGCGGCUACUCAAGUCAGAGGUGAAAGCCCGGGGCUCAACCCCGGAACUGCCUUUGAAACUAGGUGACUAGAAUCUUGGAGAGGUCAGUGGAAUUCCGAGUGUAGAGGUGAAAUUCGUAGAUAUUCGGAAGGACACCAGUGGCGAAGGCGACUGACUGGACAAGUAUUGACGCUGAGGUGCGAAAGCGUGGGGAGCAAACAGGAUUAGAUACCCCCGUAGUCCCUGUCUCUUAUAC